Silurus meridionalis is the source of this 1290-nucleotide RNA transcript. It is a transcript of the gene named crystallin, mu, with no coding region annotated. The transcript has 9 exons. The record is from RefSeq and is a predicted model, not a curated record. NCBI's taxonomy places the organism in Eukaryota, Metazoa, Chordata, Actinopteri, Siluriformes, Siluridae.
UCAGUGGGGACAGGGACGCUUGAGACAAAGUUCAUUUCGGGUGCGUGUGCAUUCUGUCUCCAGCGUCUUCCGGAUGAAUGGAUUGGAGGAGAAAGAUGGCUGCAGAGCCCGUGUUUCUGAGGGACGACGUCGUUGCUGGUUUUCUCAGCUAUGACGAGUUGAUUCCACGCCUGGAGGAAAUUCUGGGGAAGUUCUCCAGGAGCGACAACACGGAUGUGGUGCAACCCGUGAGAUCCGUUAUUCCCUUACACCAGCACAACGGGUUUAUGGGACUGAUGCCUGCAUACAUUGCAUAUGAAGAUCUUCUGUGCACAAAGACGGUGGCUUUCUACAGGCGCAAUGAAAACUUGCAUUUACCCUCCACACAAGCAACUGUGUUCCUCUUUAACCCUGCAUGUGGCAAUGUCAUAGCGGUUAUGGACGGGGCAGAUAUCACCUUUAAAAGGACAGCGGCCGUCUCUGCAAUCUCUGCUAAACUGCUGAUGCCGGCUCAGGCUGAGAUCUUGUGCAUCCUCGGCUGUGGCCACCAGGCAGUCAGCCAUUAUGAAAUCUUCACAAAAAUCUUCUCCUUUAAAGAGGUACGUGUGUGCAGCCGGAGACUGGAGACAGCUGAAAGGUUUGCUGCACGUGUCCAGGGUCCUGUAAAAGUAUUUUCUUCUGCCAAAGAGGCAGUGCAUGGGGCGGACAUCAUCAUCACAGUCACUAAUUCUAGUCAACCAGUGCUGUUUGGGGAGUGGGUUAAACCCGGUGCUCACAUUGCAGCGGUUGGGGCUUGUCGGCCGGACUGGAGGGAACUCGACGACGCACUGAUGAGAGACGCCGUGAUUUACGUGGACAGCAGACACGGAGCUGCAGUGGAGGCGGGAGACAUCAUUCAGACUGGAGUAGAAGUGUUUGCUGAACUCGGAGAAGUUUUAGUUGGAACCCGACCUGCUUUGCGCAACAAGACGACAGUGUUCAAAUCUCUGGGAAUGGGGAUACAAGAUGCGGUCGCUGCUAAGCUCGUGUUUGACAAGUGGAAAAGCAGCCAGUGACGUAACGAAUCACCAUCUGCCACACAGAAAACAACUCGAGUUUCAAGAACAGAACACAAGACAUGAAGAUGGAAGAAAACAAUAAAAAAUGGGACCCGACUUAAAAAGUUUCACACCUUCUUGGGAGUGGACCUGAAAUCACUUCCUGUGAUCUACUCUUCAGUAAAUGGAUGUGAACGGCAAGAUCUUUCUCCACCUCCUAUUCAGGCUUAAUACAAUGCUGCGUCGGAAUAAAAACUGAAUCCUUCACGAUGAA